UAUCUCUGUAGAGUCUGCAUAUCAAUAAGCGGAGGAAAAGAAACUAACUAGGAUUCCCUCAGUAACGGCGAGUGAAGCGGGAAGAGCUCAAAUUUGAAAUCUUCAAGGUUCUACCUUGACGAAUUGUAGUUUAAAGAAGUGUUUUCUGUUGGAGUUUUGGCAAAAGUUCUUUGGAAUAGGACAUCAUAGAGGGUGAGAAUCCCGUAUUUGACCAUUAUUUCCAGCUUUGUGAUACACUUUCGAAGAGUCGGAUUGUUUGGGAAUGCAGUCCAAAGUGGGUGGUAAAUUUCAUCUAAAGCUAAAUACUGGCGAGAGACCGAUAGCGAACAAGUACCGUGAGGGAAAGAUGAAAAGAACUUUGAAAAGAGAGUUAAACAGUACGUGAAAUUGUCAAAAGGGAAGCGUUUGACACCAGUGUUGUUUUCUCGAAAAUCAAUUAAAAAAGGCAGGAUUUUGUGUUGUAUUGACUUUAUCAGCUUUCUGCACUCUUUUCUUGUCUUUUUUAAUGCACUUUUCGUUUAACAAGUCAACAUCAAUUUCUUUUGUUGUAAAAGGGUCAUUGGAAGGUGGCUUUCUUUUCGGAGAAAGUGUUUAUAGCCUUUGGCCUCUGCAAUCGGAGAGAUUGAGGUCUGCAGCGUAGAUCCUUCGGGGUUAGACUACAUUUGUGCUAAGUUAUAGCCUUUCAUAGACAACUUGUUGACUAUGAUCAGUCAUGUAGCUUACUCGCUUAUGCUAUUUUACCUACGCUUAGGAUGUUGACGAUCAGCUGAGCGCG
Molecule: ribosomal RNA, 775 nt
Filed under: uncultured Neocallimastigales
Lineage: Eukaryota; Fungi; Neocallimastigomycota; Neocallimastigomycetes; Neocallimastigales
Description: partial large subunit ribosomal RNA
Rfam family: Eukaryotic large subunit ribosomal RNA
Source: RNAcentral